Neofelis nebulosa (Clouded leopard) is the source of this 2165-nucleotide long non-coding RNA. RefSeq lists it as uncharacterized. The record is from RefSeq and is a predicted model, not a curated record. The transcript has 3 exons. NCBI's taxonomy places the organism in Eukaryota, Metazoa, Chordata, Mammalia, Carnivora, Felidae.
UGUACCUCCCUCCCCAAAGGGAACAAGGCGAACUCUCUUCCUGCAGAGCCUGAGCCAAGUCAUCAUGUGAAUUCAGCCUCCUUUCCCACCUGACCUUUACAGCCACUUUCCAGCAGCAAAAUGAAAUUUCCUGAUUGAAGCGCCAAUGAGGAAGGAAAUGUUCCAGGAAAGGGAAGAGGCCAACAGAGCUACAAACUCAAUAACGCAAGUAGUUGGGAGGACAGACAAAGUAGGUUUCUUCCAGAUGACCAGCAGCACCUGCAACUUGUUAGAAAUGCAAUUUCUCCAGCCCCAGCCCAGACGUACCCAAUCGGAAACAUGCUGGGGCCCAGCCGCCUAUAUUCUAACAAGGCUCCAGGUGAUUCUGAUGCAGGCUCAAGUUUGAGAACCGUUGUUCUAAAGUAUAAUGAAAGAGAAAGAAGUACUGACACAGAGAGUUGGACUCUGUCUCCAUGACACCAAAUCAAGAACUGCCUCCUUCUCCGUCUUUCGCCACCACCUGGGAGACUCUGUUGGCAGAAGACAGAGCAGAACGGUUUCUGUGGCAGACUGAGGUUGUGAUGCAAACAGCUCUGAUGACAUUUCCUUGAGUGGUGCCCUGUCACCUGAAAAGCCACUUCUGCUUCUCGAUCACGCCCCAGUCCUAAAAUGGUCACAGAGAAUUAAUCAUCUGAAACCCACAUGUCAGCACAGAUGGGGGAGGGAGGAGGCCUGUAGUGAUAAAUGACAAUGUCUUCAAAGCAAGUUCUAAAACCACAGUUUCAGUGAAUGAAAUGCUUUUGUCUAAUAAACUUUAUUUAUGUGGAGUUUACCCAUAAUGGACAUUUUAAACAUAUAGUUCAAUAGAGUUUGACAAAUGCUACACGCCUCUGUAAUCACCACCACAGUCAAGAUUAUAGAACAUUUCUAUCACUCCAGAAAGUUCCCUUGUGCCCUUCCCCAGAAAUGGCCACAGGAAAUAUUUUUUAUUUUAUAAGCCAUAGAACAUUUAUUUGAACAUUUUUAAAAUUGGAGUAGCAUAAAGAAGAAUCCGUUCACUUGCCAGAAAAAAACAUUUAGAUCUUAAAUCCUUAACAUAAAAUCAGAUAACACUUCCCUCAGCAUAGUUUUAGCAUGAACUAACUACUAAUGAGAAGACAUUGCCAUAGUACUUUCAAACAUGGCUAACAUUUGAAGUGUAACAUUCACCCAAAAAUCUGAGUGGGAAAGGAAUGCUUUAGCUUACUUGAUACAUCCUGAAGUUAUAAAGGUAGUACUAAGUCUACGUGGUAGGUAGCUCACAUUGGCGAGAAGACUGGAAGAGGGAGGAAGCAAAAAUGGAAAGAAAAAAGACCACGUAAAAUACAUAUCAUUCAUGUACUUAUGUAAAAUUAUACAUAUGUAUGUACAUAUGUGGAAGUUGAAUUUAAAAUACAAAAAAAAAAUUACAGAGACCUCAAUUCUUGCAAAAUUUUAAAAGUCUCCUAGUGAACUCCCUUCAAAACAUGUCCAGUUUUAUGUCACAUCAAAUAACUUUCUCGUCCAUCUUAAAAAAUAAAAACAAACUACAAUCUAGAAGAGAUUAUUGACUGAUGGAAAUAGAGUCUGAGAUUUGGAGUGAAAAGUGCUUUCUCAGCCUGCAGCUGAACAUUCUGCUCCGAAAGUGCUUCCCUGCCUGCUUCUCCACAAAUCAAUAAUAGAUCAGACAAGAACUUUUGUUGUUGCUACUUUCUAAGAGAUGCAGAAAACUGGGCAAGUCGGGAGCCCAACGAGAAUUCUUGACUGUAAACCCCAUAUCCAUCUCUGUCAAGUGCAGUCUGUGGAAGCAUUUCGGAAGGAGAGCCACUUUCAGCCUGCUCUCUUCAAAGCAGUCUGCAGCUAGGAAGCUCCAGUGAUUUCUAGUGUGACUUCUUAAGCAAACCUUAAAAUUGGUUCAUGCCAUUAGAAAAUGAAAUUAUAGCUGAAAUUUUAUCCAAAAACUGACAUUGGUAAGGAAAUCUAGGAGGAAAAAAACCCACAAUUGCACAACAAAAGAUUUACCUUACUUUUUAAAAUAUAAAAACAAUUCACUAAUAAAAAUAUGGUAAGGAAACAAAACAGAUGAAUGUUGGGGGGAAGGGAAGGAAACAUAAGAUAAAAACAGAGAGGGAGGCAAUGCAUAAGGGACUCUUAAAUACAGAGAAUAA